AUUUGCAACUAUAUAUCGCGAUCGUCGAAACGAAAUGUAAUUUUUGAGGGAUGAAAAAACUCGGUUUAUUCGAUUCAUUUUUCUCGUCUUCGUUUCGAAUUGGAGAGGAUCGUGAGAUGUAUCUGUUUUAAUAUAAUGACAGCUCGACGCGACACCAAUUAGAGCUCGAUCGUUACUACUUUUUGAAUCCGAUAUCCGAUUUCUUCAAUUAUUGAGGGGAAAUCUAUUUACAUCCUCGAAGCUUACAAGUUUCUUCUCCAACCGAUAACUCGCGUAAUGCUUUGUAAGUAUGAAAAAUGGCUGGUAAGCUUCUUACGAAGCGUAUUAUAUUUAUUGUAACGCAAUACUCCACUCGAUCCCAUUUACUAAUCCAAGAAGAAAAAAAAACUCGCAAUCUCUUCUUAAUUUUAAGCUUACACGUUCUUCUAACACUGCAUUAUUAUAUAUAUCAUCAAACAGCGAUCAACACCUUCUUUAGAACGAAUAAAAAUCUACAAUCUAUUUUACCAAAUUUCGUCGUAAAUCUCUUAAGGAGAUUUAUUCAUAUAAAAUUCUAAUUAAUCGGAUCAUAAACUCGGCCAUCCAUGAACACAACCUGUGUGUUUCAACAUCAUUUCUUACAACAUUUACCUCACAAUGAGAAUUCACUUCCAUUCACUGUGACACGAAUAAAAAAGAAUCUAAAUUUUCCAACUCUCAUUCUUCUAUUCACUAUAAAAUUUUUCCAUUCUAAUUAACAUAAAAAUAUUUAUUUACCUCAUGACAAUUCACUUUCAUCACUGCGAGUAAAAAAAAAAAAAUCUAAAUUUCCCAAUAAGUCUCGAGGACUUUUAUUAUUCGCGUAAAAAAAAAAAAAAAAAAUGUUCCAUUCUAAUUAAUAUAGGAUAUAAAACUAGCGAUCCGUGAAGCCUAGCAAAAGCCGUGCGGUGGUAUAUCGGCCCACCACCGGUUGGGAUAUUUACGAUGACAGCGAUGCUGCGAACGCGAGGCUACGCCUCGUCGGCCUCGUCGAGUUGGACAAUGGAAAAUAACGUGUAAUGCAAUCGACGGCUUCGUUUCUAUCGCCCACUGACCGGGAAUAAUGGCCGCUACACGGUGGUACACGCGAGGCAUCGAACAAUAGAGGGCCAGCGCGAGGGCCAGCGCGCGUGACGCAAGGAGCUUCGCUUCUCCCGUCGUCGGCCCGCGGAAUGCGCUCCCCGAUCACAAUGAGCCAUUAGUCACCGAGCCGCUGCUGGACGAAACCAACACCCAUGCGUGGUGACGUAACUCGGUGAACUUGGCCAAUCCGUGACGGUUGCUGGGCGUACGGAAGGUUGCUCGCUUGGCGUAGGGCGUGGAGAGGGGAUCAGGCUAACCGUGUAUCGGUUAGAAGCGAGAAUGCCGCAAGGUUUUGGCGCAGCGAAGAUUCUUCGCUCUCUAUAUUGCGUAUAUGGGAUGAUACGUGUGGCUUCGAAUUUUUUGGAUGUAUACGAUUCAAUUUGUUCAAUCAGACCUUGUCAAUAGAGCGUGGGUGACGACUACUUAGGCGGGUCAGGUCAUAUUCGGACGCAGCAAUGAGAGGUAAUUAAGUUUGAUUUAAGAAAGGAAAUCUUGAAAAGGAAGAAAAGUAUCCACACCGAGGCUUGUCGAGCAGCCUGAGCAUCAUAGAAUUGUCCGUUUGCCAAGAAUAUGUUACGACACGUCCAUACAGAGUCUGAGCUCGUAAACAGAGCUUCUUACCGAACCACCUUUCGUUGUUUACUGCUGAGUAAACUGGCCACAAUCAGUCACUCGAUCUUAGAAUUUCAUUGCAUCGAAAGAAGGGAAAGAAAGAAAAAGAUGGAAAGGUAUCCGGAUAUUUUUGAGCAUAGUAUACCAUCAGGAUUCAUCGAUUGCAUCACGCAAUAACACAGAGCGAUGAUUCACCGCUCUUACGAUCUCUUUUCUCGCCGUUGCAUCCAAUUUACAACGGAUUAUACGAAAAAAAAAAAGACCAUCGUGCUCGUGUGUGACGACACGGAUCUAAUAAAUUUCCAGUUGCGCGAGCUUCGCGGUUAUUUUAAUUUGCGAUACUUCCUAUCCGUAACAACACGCUCAAAGUAUCAAAUUUCCUGUACUCGAGCGCAGGACUUUUAAACUCGAUUCUCUUGAAAAUGAAGCCUCGAAGCGAAAAAACCGGCACGAUCUUCCAAAAAUAAUCCCCGUACAUAAAAGUGAGAAAUUACGAAAUUCGAAGAGAAAGAAAGAAAUACCAAAAAACUUAUUCCUCUCUCCACCUCACAAUCACCCCUAACCAUCCCAACUUUCCAUCCACAACGAGGCUUAUAACCCUACACGUACAAUCGAGGAUGGAAAUAGCUCGCAAAGCAUCGAGUCGAGAGAUCGACUUGCAAAUAGCGUUUAGGUUAGGCAGGUAACGAUGAAUUUUAACGGGUUAACGGGAAGUUUUCCUCCUUAAGGGGGCAGAACGCGGGCGACAUUGUUCCGUUUUUCGAGCCGCGCUCUGCCAGGUCCUCUCUCCCUCGAUUUAAUUGAUACCCCGAUCACGUGCUCGAGCGUUCUGCUUUCUCCUCCCUCCCACCGUUAUCGUCCCGUAUGCAGGUUAAAAAGUCGGAUACAACUUGUCACGCUCGAUGGACAAUCUCUCCGCAAAACUGGAAACAUACAGUUGGAAAUGGAACGUGGAUGAAUCGUGCCAGCUCGCUUUUGCUUUUGGCCACCAUUUCGUCUACGCGCGGCAGGAAUAUCACGAGAGUGGGUUUCAAGUUUUUGAAGAAUUGUUUUAGGAUUUCUUGCGAGUUGCGCGUAAGGAUAAAUAAACGGGAGAGAAAUUAAACGCGGUAAAUUCGUAAUAUUCGAGGAAGCACUCUCUCUCGAGUGCGAGGAAAGCGAGGGAAAUUAACAUGGUUUCGAACACUGUGUUUAUUAACAGCGUUGUCUUCGAACGGAUUCGAAAGUAAAAUUCUCGAGAGCAGUAUUUUUUUCGAUAACGAUCUCUCCUCGUCGAGAGUGAAAGUGGUUGCCGGUACAAAUUACAAUUACCGCUUCUAAUGUGGCGUGAAAAUUUUGUUCGUCGUUUAAUCUCCGGUGUGAUUGCAAAAGUACAACGAUACGAUUAUUAUUGAUAUUGAAAUUUCGUAUCGAUACGAAUGGAAUGGAAAAAGAAGAAAAUCGGAAGGAGAGAAGGAAUAAAAGUCAUAAAUAAAGCGAGGAGAAUCGAUAAUCCGGGGACGAUAACUCUCUCGACAGCCCGGCUCUCGACAGAUUGCAGACUUUCAGAGUGUUUCGAGUGUUCCUCUUUCUCGAACGACCCUGAGGACCGCUAUCCCAAACGGAAACGAGUUACGCAUCCUUCUUCUUUUCUCGAGUUAACGAGACGAGGCCGUAUGCGCGUUCGAAUCUGGAGGAAACGCGCAUGCAAACUCGUUUUUAGAGGCCAACGACCACUCGCGAUCAGCUGGGACUGGGUCACAUGUAAAUUGGAAUAGGCAUGUAUCUCCAUUCCAUCCGCCGACUCGUCCUACGAAUCCUACGUAUUUGCUCGAGCUCGAACGAGCCAUUCUUUUCAACGAAUAUUUUUCAACCCACUCGGACGCUAGUUAACGUUAUACGUGCUCAUUCCUCGAAUCAACAUAAACGAAUAUGUUUCUCCAUAAUAGAGACUAGUAAAAAAAUAAACCCGGUUACGACGAAA
This is a long non-coding RNA of Apis cerana (Asiatic honeybee), 3676 nucleotides long. RefSeq lists it as uncharacterized. The record is from RefSeq and is a predicted model, not a curated record. NCBI's taxonomy places the organism in Eukaryota, Metazoa, Arthropoda, Insecta, Hymenoptera, Apidae.